CACGGCCUAUCAGCUUGUUGGAGAGGUAACGGCUCACCAAGGCAUCGACGGGUAGCUGGUCUGAGAGGAUGAUCAGCCACACUGGGACUGAGACACGGCCCAGACUCCUACGGGAGGCAGCAGUGGGGAAUCUUGCACAAUGGGCGAAAGCCUGAUGCAGCAACGCCGCGUGCGGGAAGAAGGCCUUAGGGUUGUAAACCGCUUUCAGUAGGGAAGAAAAUGACGGUACCUACAGAAGAAGGUGCGGCCAACUACGUGCCAGCAGCCGCGGUGACACGUAGGCACCAAGCGUUAUCCGGAUUUAUUGGGCGUAAAGAGCUCGUAGGCGGUUCGGUAAGUCGGGUGUGAAAACUCUGGGCUCAACCCAGAGAGGCCACCCGAUACUGCUGUGACUAGAGUGCGGUAGGGGAGCGGGGAAUUCCUGGUGUAGCGGUGAAAUGCGCAGAUAUCAGGAGGAACACCAGCGGCGAAGGCGCCGCUCUGGGCCGUAACUGACGCUGAGGAGCGAAAGCAUGGGUAGCAAACAGGAUUAGAUACCCUGGUAGUCCAUGCCGUAAACGUUGGGCACUAGGUGUGGGUCUCAACCAACGAGAUCCGCGCCGUCGCUAACGCAUUAAGUGCCCCGCCUGGGGAGUACGG
RNAcentral lists this ribosomal RNA (639 nucleotides) under uncultured actinomycete. Its description in RNAcentral is "bacterial SSU rRNA". It matches the Rfam family "Bacterial small subunit ribosomal RNA", at positions 232 to 885 of the family's 1533-position model. Lineage: Bacteria; Bacillati; Actinomycetota; Actinomycetes; Actinomycetales. The record is from RNAcentral.